Non-coding RNA from Beta vulgaris subsp. vulgaris (sugar beet), 106 nucleotides. NCBI's taxonomy places the organism in Eukaryota, Viridiplantae, Streptophyta, Magnoliopsida, Caryophyllales, Amaranthaceae. The record is from Rfam.
AUACCAUGGUGUGUGAAUUGUAUUUGCAAAGCCUUGCAUCUUUGCCAUGCCUUAUAGAGAGAAUUCCAUUCAUGUUGUUGAAAACCAAAUAUUUCAUUAUGAAUUU